GCCAUUAAUCGCUAGCUUAAAACUGGUUUUAUGCAUGUCGACAUACCCGGAAGUUAUGAAUGACUUCAAAACUUAAUUAUCUGAAAAUAAAACGUUUUAUUUUUCUUAUGUGGAAUAGUAAUGGAUAGUAUAGCUGGGGAGAGGACUUUCUCUGACUGAACGACGAGCGAAAUGAUUAUCUGUAUAUUGUUGUACUUCUUUUGCGGAAAUGAGAUAAAAGGUAUUUAUGAACUUCAAAAAUUUUAUUAUUCAGAAAUUAAUAACUGUAGCAGCAAGUUAUUUUGAUGUGUUAUUCACAUGUUACAGUUACAAUAAGUUAAUAAAAGUUAUGCGCUUUUUUAUCUUAACCUGUUCGCAGUUUCAUAAUAAAGGACACCAUACAUUCCAGUCUGUCUUCAUGUCUGUCUUUUUUUGUGUCAAUGUUUUCUUCAAAAUAAGCUAGCUCUAUUUUCUAACCUUCCUGACAAAAUGAUUUUAAAGAAAUUCUGUUUUGCAAUUUCGUUAGUUUUCAGUUACUAUACAUUCGCACUACAUACAUUUAUAUAUGUAAGGUCCUAUAAGAUGCAAAUAUAAACGUUCCAGCUGCAAUGAAGUCGGGUAGUUUUACAACCACACAUUUUAUUGGAAAAGGUGGUAUUUCGUCAACAAUUCUUUACAGUUUUUGUCAUUUUGAAAUGUAUGAUAUACAUUGUAUCAAACAUUUGGUCAUUGCCUAUAUCGGUUUUUAUAUGUGAGAUGAAAUAAUUAUCUUUUCGUAUGUUUUAUCGCAGCGCUUAUUCUAUAAAACUUCAAACAAAAACAUGAGAAGGAGAGUAACACACUAAAUGCUUUGACUUCACACAGUUCAAUUUUCUUCAAAGGCUGGUAUACUUUCUGCACAAAAAUUAAACUUUUUAUUGCAAUUAAAGUGUAUAUACCAACACAGUAACUCUGUCACCCGCAAAUGUUGUCGCUGUGGAGAAUACAAGUGUUACACUAACGUGUUCAAAGACAAAUGGAUCACUCUUAGAAACUCGGUGGACUAACUCACAAAUUGCAAGCCAAGACGCAAAUUUGGUGCUGUACAAUGGGAAAUGCAUAAUGACAAGAUUUUUGAGCAACAGUGACCUUUUUGAUGGUAUUUGUAACGGUAAUGGAACCUAUUCUGUACUUCUCAAAAGAGUAGACCGAUUACAACAUGGUGCUAUAUGGAGAUGCAAAGAGACCAUAGAAAAUAGUAAUGGAGUCCCAAUUAAUGUAUUAGGUAGAACCUUUAAGUAUUUGAGUUUCAAUAUUCACAUCCUAUAAACGACUGUAUCCCCCGCUUCCUCUUGCGAGUGAUCAAAACAAUAAAAUGACACGGAAAAGGUACGAAUCGUCAUUAAAUUCAUUAUUUGGCUUUACACUCUAUGUGUAUUUAAGUUAAACGGUAAGUCUAACAUAAAUAUGUGUAUAUGAUGAUAUAAUAGAUGCAACUGACAGGUAAUGUUUAAAAAAUGUUGACUGAUCACACUCAUUGCAUGAAAAUUCUCUCGACGAUGUCAAGAAAUUGAUGAAUAUCACGCCAAAUUGAUUUGUAAUCCAAUUAUCCAUUUUGUUUUCUGUAAUAAGUAUGCAUACUCCAUAAAUGUAUGUAAAUAAAAUGUUUUGUUUC
Long non-coding RNA from Mercenaria mercenaria, 1633 nucleotides. RefSeq lists it as uncharacterized. The transcript is spliced from 2 exons. Lineage: Eukaryota; Metazoa; Mollusca; Bivalvia; Venerida; Veneridae. The record is from RefSeq and is a predicted model, not a curated record.